UCCAGGAAGACACACAGCGGUGCAUUUGCGAACAUUCGUUGAUUUAAUUUACUGCAACAAAACAACACCAGUGUUAGAUGAGGAUGUUGUACAUCGUUUGUGUUUUGAAUGAUGAGUUAAAAUCUGUAAUUAAGCUGUAGUUUUUAUUUUCCAAACCGUGACUUAGAUUGACGGUGCAGAGAAUGACGCAGUUUCCUCCGACGUAUUCCCAGUAUCGCUUCUCGGCCUUUUGGCUAAGAUCAAGUGUAGUAUCUGUUCUUAUCAGUUUAAUAUCUGAUACGUCCCCUACCCGGGGACCAUAUAUUAAAUUGAUUUUUGGAACAGGGAGAUGGAAUAGGGGCUUGCUCCGUCCACUCCACGCAUCGACCUGGUAUUGCAGUACUUCCAGGAACGGUGCACCCCCACUAUAGAUGUUGAAAGUUAAUUUCAAAUAGAAAUAUGUUGUGUUCAGUGUGGUUGUCACAAAAAGGUCAUUGAGAUUAGACUUAUUUUCUCCCAUGUCGGUUUUGUUUAUUCAAACAAAGUUUAAAAGGCUUAUGUUUAAAAAAUAAAACCUGUGGAGAUUAAAACCUCUUUUUGUGAGAGACCUUGCUAAGACGACCACGUGAAACCAUAUGGUAUCACAGAGGAAGACCCCUAAAGACUAACUGCUGUGUGCCAAGGCAUUUUUUUUACAAGACAUAAGAGUUGGUUCGGUCUGGUUGACCCCAAACAUUCAGAUGAGCAACAGUAAUCAUCAGCAGCAAACUCGUGGAGAUUAAAAUCUCUUUUUGAGGGAACGACCACGUGAAACCAAAUGGUAUCACAGAGGAAGACCCCUGAUGACUAACUACUGUGUGUCAAGGCCUUUGAAGACCACAGAUGUUACUGUCAUUAUUUGUCUUCAAUCCGGGCCCAAAUAAGCAGACCAGCGACCGCCAUUAUCCAGCUGAGGAGUGACAUCAGCUGAUUGAACCACACCUGGGAUCCAGUGACUGAGCUGCAUAAAACCUCCCUCACCUCCAUUCAAACUCACUCUCUCUCUGACAGGAGCUGUUCUGUCCCGAGUUUUUUUUUUUGGUCACUUUCAUGCAUAGCUUUGGGUUGUUUUUGUGUUAAAUUCAUUUCAGUCACCACACAGUUGUCUCCCUGUUUUUGAGCCAAGCUUUAACAAAUGGGGGCUCCACACCUUAGUAGAACCAGUUUACUCUCAUGUAGCGUUGCUGGGCAGAGACUGGUGAUUCUUUGUGAAUGAAGACGCAUGCUGUAGUGUCGGUGAGUGGCGCUGUGUGCGCGACAAUGUGUGUGGUGAUUGUUUCUGGAGUUAAUAAGUGACUUUCGGUGAGUGAAGUAAUUCUGUAAUUUGCUCAGAAGUAAAAGUUUGUCGCCGGGCUGUGAUGCUGGUGUUUGUGUCUGAGUUCUGUUUGUGCAGCUGCACAGUUGUGGCAGGUCGCUGUGGUUCUGUCCCUGUUAGGCUUCAGAGCAGAUUCCCUUGGAGUCCGUUGGGGGGUUUGGUAGUGUGGUGAGAACGUGGUUUGGAGCAGUUGUCUCGGGGGCACAUCCGAGGCUGCAGGUGGGGUCGCCGAUCCUCGGUUGCUUCGCCGGGCCUGCGGGAUCUUAGUGCAUAAAUACCCGCCACAAGUACCACCUGAAGACUAGGGGGGAGUUCAGUCAGGUUCUGGUGAGGCAGUUAGAGGGACGGAGACACGGUGAUCGAUCAGCUGUUUGAGCUGCAGAGGUUAAACUGUUAGAGAUCAGCUGUGAUGCUGGUGUCCAUCAGGUUUGCAUCAGUUUAUUUCCUGCAGGUCUGUUUUCUGAGUGGUUAAAAUAGUAAAAUGGUGUGUGUGUCUCUGUGUGAGUGUACGUGUGUGUCUUUUGGCAAAUAUGUACUGUUAAUAACGUUACUUUCACAUUGAAAAUACGAUGUCAUAUCGGGGAAAUAAGCACCGAGAGUUUAUUUUUCCUAUCGACAUGAGCGCGAACUGUGUGCGUGCGUGUGUGAGAUUAAGUGGUACGCAAAAUAUUUCGCCAAGGUUGACAGGUCUGCAACAUGGAUGCUGGCGAUAAAAGAUUAAAAGACAGCAUGAAACAUAUCUUUAAAAAAAUCUAUUUGAUGCAGAGGUUCUCCAGCCUGAAGUUUGGAUUGUCAAGGCUGGUUCAGACUCCUGUGAGUGAAGCGGCUCUGAGCAGCUCGACUUAACAUUUGAGCAGCUUGAUAGAUUACUGUUGUUUCAAAUUCAGCUUAAAAGGCUUGAGCUAGAGGAGCACAGAUUAGAAGUUCUGCUGGUGUCGUGGGUCAGACUCCUGGGGGUUCAUCUGGUCUUUGACAAUCACUGGUCAGCGGUUGGUUCCUCAGUUUUGUGAACAAAAUCUGGAUGCAUUUUUUUUCUCUUUUUAUGCGGUUGGCUGAGGCCCGAGGCUGGUCUGAUGCUGAGAGGACGUUACUCCUGCAGCGUGUUCUGACAGGUUAGGCUCAGGAGGUGUAUUGUGCUGUCAGCGUGGAGGACAGUAAAGUCUACACUUCAAAGCUGCUGUAUUAAAAACAUACGAGUUGGUACCACAAGCAGAGGGAGAAUUCUGGUCAGCAGUUUGCCAGAGAGCUGACAACUCCUCUGUCGUUGGUGUUCUUGACUGAAUGUUCAUACGUACGGCAUUUUGUGUGAUUAAAUAAUCCUGCAGCAGUUGAAAGACUCAGUUCCUCCUCACAUUGCUGUCUGUAUAGGUGAGCAAAAGGUAAAGACGGCACAGAAGACCUCCCUCAUUUCCAUUCAAGCUCUCUCUCUCUCUGACAGCUCAUGGUUGUGAAAAUACAAACUAUUUACAAUUUGUUUAUGAACUUUAACUAUUUACGGAUCACUUUAUUGAAUAAAUAAAUUGUAAUACACGAGUUUAGAGAAUUUAAGAGUCGUCAUUGAACAAAGUUGAUAAAAACUCACGCUAAUUGAAAUUAUUUACAGUAUAUGCAUAGCAAACCUAAUGUAUUCAGAUAAAUUACAGCAUAUUUACAAAUGUACAAAGCAACCUUACAUACUUACAACAUAUUUACACUUCAUUGCCCCAAACUGUCAGCGACUGAGGUGAAGUGUUCGUAGCUGUUGUAAACUCUGUUGUCCAGACCCUUAGAUGGGGACAUCAUUGUUUCUGAGCAGAAAACCCUUUUUUUUAUACUUCCUGUGUCCCUGCGUUGGCUCCCUAUAAAGCUUACAUGAUGGUAAGUUUUGCACUCGUGACACUUUGGCUCCAAUUUGAGACGGGUAGUCCUUGAGCUUACAUUUGUAUAACGUAGCUCUUGCCCAGUCAGGAGUCACAGAUGGGUCAGCAGUUUGAGUUGGAGGGUCUGAAGCAGGCACCAUGGGCGGUCCAGAGGGGCCAGCAACCUCAGAGACUGCAGGUAGUAUGGGUAUUUUAGAGGGUCCUGCAGUCUUUGGGGCUGCUGUGGCUACAUCGAGGGAGGAUGCAGGCCUGGUGAUGGUGGUGGGGGUCUUCCUAACUGGCGGUGGCAGAAGAGGCUGUGGAGGUCGAGGCCGGGACAUAGGCAUCGCUGUGUCCGUUCUCGUCUUUAACACCUUUGUCCCGGCCAUGCUGAGCCUGUGCACAUAUUGAGAUACAGGGUAGUCUGGUGGGGGGAGGACUGCUGGCUGGUGUGGUGCUGGAGGAAGGUCUGCACAUGACACAGAUGUCAAUUUUGUGAUGAUGGACGGCUGUCUGGUGGCGUGGAGGUUGAGAAGCCUCUCCUGGUGGCGGAUAAAGUCCCGCACAGUCUUGAUAUUAAUUUUUGGCAGAGGAAAGCCUGCUCUGCUCAAGACUGGAUCCUCCACCAACAUCCGAUGCUGGAUCCUCUCAUAGGCCUUCACGAUGCUGACCUUGUCAGGGCCUGAGAGAGAACCCCUCUGAGCGCAGCCACAGCAGUUUCACCAGCACGUACAUUAGCCUGUUGUUCUGAGCGCUGAUGUCUUGUUGUGCUGGUGCAUAGCGCUUUGCCAUUUUCACCCUCUGUACAACAGCAGCAUCAACAAGAUCAUCGCGCUUUGUACGGCAGUACAAAGUGUUGCCCCAGUGCGUCCUGUAUAGCCGGUUGAAGCGCUGUUGCUGCUUGUCGUGUUCCUCCACUGCUUUCCAGGCUUCCAGUGUUUUGUUCCUCUGCUCUGUGGUGAGUGACAGCUUGUCCUCUGUCAGUCCAAUCUCCACCAGCACAGAGCAGAACGUUUCCAGCUUUUGAAAGCCAGGGAGAGGGUUCUGACUGCAGGCGUUCUCCUGUAAAAAAAAUCAUGCAAAUGUGGUUAUGUUUAAAUGCGUACGUCAUCUUUUGUCAGCAGCCAGUGCCGUGUAUUUUAUUGGAGCGGACACACACUGACAAGCAUCACAACAUAUUGUACUAUAAAAGAUCAUAGCUGAAAGUAUGCCACAUCAUAUACACAGUGAAACUAAAUAUUAUAGUACUGUUGUGUAGCAAUAUAACAGAAUAUCAUACUGUAUCACUAGACUAUGCUGCUACCAGUGUGGUGUAUUUUAUUCUAGCAGACACAAAGUUACUCACCAAGGCAGGAGGGUGAGCAGAGGAGGUUUCCCCACUGGUGAGUGUGAUGUGGGCCAGGUCAGCAUCCAGGUUCUGUGCCUUCCCAUCGCCUUAAUAAGCCUCAUCAGGAUCAGGCUGCCCAGGCUGAAGAGACAAUCCCUCCAGGUUUCAGUAAGGUCAUGAGGAGUGUGGUGUACAGGUCCUUAUUAUGGUGAAGGUAGUCCUCAGUGUGACUCUCCUGUAUCUGUCUCCACACUUUGACCACAGUGUUUCCCUCAUUCCGGUCUCUCAGAAGGUGCACAACAUUCUUGUGGUUUAAAAACCAGAUACUUGUUAGCAUGGUUAAGUAAAAUGCAGAUUUGAUUAAGUGAAGCACAAAUAGCUGAUCACAAGAAUUCCUGACAUCUGUUAGGGAAUUCUGCGAUGUCGAAAGAAGAAUCAGGAGGCAAACUCAGAGACUCUUGAGCCUCAGAAGGCUUAGGUUAAGAAAAAGGUUUACUGAUAUGAGGAGAAGUGAUGUGAACGCUGGCAGCAUCAAUUCUGAGGAGUCUCUCUGGCCUUGGGGUAUAUAUGUAGUUGUGAAGCCUACCGUGUUUAGGUUACAAUCCAAAUACGGUGGUUGGUUUGCCUGUUCAGAAGCGCCAUCUAGAUAAUAACUUUGUUUUCUUUACAAACAGUUGUCUUUAUGUUGUCUCCAGCAAGCGUCUGUCUGUACCUCCACACUCCAACAGGGCGCCACACAAAGACACAGCUCCGGACAAAGAGCUGUGGAGCCUUUGAUGCAGGCUGGAGGUUCUGGUGGGUUAAACCACAUGCGGUCUGACUUCACCUGUUUCCUCUUCAACAGGCCUUUGUUGUCCCUGUACAUUUGUAUUUGAACAGCCAGGGUAUGUCAGCUGAUGGAAUGCCGUUGGGAUUUUCCCACCGACACAUCUAACCCUCUAGCUCCACCUGGAAAUCGUUUAACACAUAAAACAUUUUGCUAUUAUUGUGUACAAAAUAAUGUCAACUCAUAAUACAGGGUUUCUCCAGGGCAUUGAAAAGCAUUAAGUCAUUAAAUUGAUUUUGUGAAAGUUAAGGCCUUAAAUGGCGUUAAACAUAAUUUGAUUCUCAGUGGCUUUAAAAAUUCUUUCUGCAGUUUUCAAGAAAAAUAUUUGAUAGCAAUGACAUAAAAAUAUGUAAUUAUAGACUGUGAUUCAUCAGACAUGUGCGUCUGAGGAAACAUGCCGAAGCAUUGCGAUAUUUGUUCCAGCCGGUCAGGUACGAUUGCCAAAAACUGCGUGUUUGGAAAGUGGCCGGCAGGCUGGACCAGGUGGAGGACAGCUGGGAAAUGGGGAAAUGCAAAUUCCAGCAAGAAUGGCUAGAAAACGUGGAUUUCAGAGAAUGACUGCAGCCCGUUGGUAGUCAGGGGAGGUUUCCGGAUUCAGAAAUAGUGAAAUGUAGGGACAGUUUUCAUGUAAAAAUCAUCUUUUACAAACAAGCAAACCUUGUUGAAUUCACGGUCGUGGCAUAAAAUGUUUGCAGUACAGCAUUAAAUUUGACUGAUUUCUGCAGAAACCCUGUAGUAGAAUUAUUUCCCUUUGAAUACCUUUUGAAACACCUUUAGAUUGAUUGCAUAUAAUAUGAUUAUCACUUACAGGCAAGUCAGGUGAUUCCAGGGAAUAAUCAUGACCCUGGCUCAUGGACAGGGACACUGUGGCUUUCUUCUUGUGCUGCUUGGGCUGUACAUCAGGCUGGAAUCUCAAACCCUUUCUGACUGUAGAGACACUUGUCAAUGUUGGCCUCGAGGAUUGUGGAGACCUGUGGGAAACUCUGUACUCAUCCAGGUUGUCUUUGAUCCACUUGUUCCCUAUUUUUCCUUUUUUUUUUUUGUGAAUCUCUGGCCUCUGCUCCGUGUUUGUUACCUAUUCUGUAAUCAUUAAAUAUAAUAAGUAAUAGUUUAGUACAGUCCUCACUAUUGUCACUGCAACUGUGGAAAGUAAAGAAGUUGAGUCAUGAACACUGAAAACAGGAAGAGUUUUAAAGGUAAUCUAUUUGAAUGACAAUUUUAUUUUACAUUCAUAGCCUACAAUGGUAAUAAAUAAUAUAUGCUUACUACUUCAUGUAGCCCACAAGCCAGUUGGAUGAGGCGCUCACAUGCUGUCCAAAUGGCACCACCAGCUUGGACAUGGAGAGUCCCUCUGCUCACAGGAGCCUCUCAGUGUGGGUCAGGGCAGAUGCUUGGUUCAGCAGCUCCUGUGGUGGUUUGGGGAAGGACAUGUUUGUCACGAUAACUCCUUGCCGCCUCAGUUGCCACCAGAAGUGCCUGCUGUUGGUCUGCAGGGGCCCCUGGGUGGGUGACUCGAAUGACUGGGGUCGUCAUCAGAAGUCCUGUAUGGAGCAGCAGCAUCAUAGUUAUUGAUUACACCUGGAGGCCUGAGACUGAGCUCCAGAUUACACCUGGCUCUCAUGAGGACUGAUUAUCUUGAAGCUCUGAUCCUCCACACUUUGGACUGGUCUGCCACUACAACUCCUCCUCCCACAACAUCCCAGCAAUCACAUGAGUGUAUAUCUGCAACCAAGACUCUCUGUCGGAGCAGCUGGGAUUUCCUGUGACCAGUUGGCCUUGGUGUCGCUGUGGGUUUCAUUCAUGGUCCUGUAGGUUCUGUAGUCACUGAGGGGUGACUACGGACAUUUAGAGCUUCUGUUGGCAGGUGAUAAUUUGGUGUGGAGGCAGUGGCUGCUGUUAGAAGUCCGCCAACUUCAUGAGAAGCGGUUAUUUGAGUCUUUGCGCAUUGUGUUUAAUAUCUGUGUUUAGAGACAUGUUUGGCUAGUCUUGUGGAUGUUGCUGCUGUGUUGGCUGGGGAGUUUAGUUGUUUUGUUAGUAUUUAUAUAAUUUGUGAACUCUGUUAGUCUUUGUUUGGUCAAGUGUAUAAUCACAGGCAGCUGUAUCCAAACCACCUGAUGCAUUGAAUCAUUGUGGCUGUUGGGAAUGAGUAUGAAAAACCAAAAAAAAUGUAUGAUUGAAUAAUUUCUAUAGAUAAAUGAUCACAUAUGUGUAUAAUAAAAUUUAUUUUCAUGUAUUCUGUGUGUGUAAAUUUUCCCCAAAAUGGUAGUAUCCUAUAAUGUGGCAGGUUGUGUAAUAAUGUCUUUCUGUCACCUUAGGAAAAUGGCAUGGCCUUACGCAGGCAGAGGACAGAGAAAGUGCUUCUGGAACUAGGAAGAUUGUACUGAAUAUGCUUGUGUAACUUAGACAAGGAUGUACAGGAAAGGGGAGAUUUUAUUCAGAAGUAACAUGUUUUCAACAGUUUUUGGUUUUAAAUGAUUCCUUUUUUUGACACACAAACACCUCACCUUUGAAUAAAAUAAACAGUGAAAAAUACAAUUCUUGAUAAGCAAACCUAAUGUGUCUGUAAUAAUGUUAGGUUUAGCUUACCUUAUUAGGAGUUAAAAAUCAAAAAUGUUCUCACAUGGGAAAUUGACCACUUCCUGGUUGGCUCCAUCCUAUCACCUAUCUUUCUCUCCUCACUCUCCUAAAUCUCCAAACUCACUCUCUAAACCAUAUCCAAACUCUAGUAUCCAGACUAUCCAAACUUUCGACUGACCACAACUCUAUCAAAACCCACAUUUUGAACGGAGCCUGAGGGGUUUAUUCUGCUGUCAGACCUCACGGCAAAAUCUGAACCACUUUCCGAAGCAGUCACAUGGUUCAGCCAGGCAACGACGCUUCGGACGUCAUCAUUUUUGGCUCCUCCCCUAAAUUAAGCAAGUUUCGAUCAUAGACUGUAUAUAUAGUGGACGUAGCAUCUGGCUCCAGAAUUGAAGCCAACCCAGAAGUGUCAAAAACUUGCAAUAUCACGCCGUCCGCUAGGGUUGGCUCCAAAAAGCUUUUUCUCCAUAGACCCCAAUUCAUUUUUGGAAAAAAUAAAAUUUGAUAGACUGAUGUUCUACAGCUCAGGAUUUUUUUCCCCGUUAGUUUUCAUAGUCAAAAUGAGAGAUCAGGUGGCCGAUCUUAAAAUCUAAAUCAAUACUGAAUUUUAAAUAAAUCGUUAAAGUUGGCGGAGCCAGGGGGCGUGGCUAUACUUGAUAGACAGCAACAGAAGCCUCUGCGGUAAAACGUGGGCGGGAUAAGAGAGUUCUCAGCCAAUCCUGCCCCUCGUUGCUCUUCAGUCCAGCCAGUUUGAUGACGCUUUUUACGUCACUGGCUCCAAAAAAUCCAAAACGGCGACCAGGAAGUAGCAAAAUCCGGGCUUCAUUUUCUCUAUGGUUGAAACCAACGGGUGACGUCACGGUUAGUUUACGCCUGGUCUCGAUACACGCUUCGUGGAAACGCCCCCUUCAUUACUCGACAACGCUUCGAAGCCUCGGCACAUCUCGUAACCAGGGGCGUAUUUAGUCAUUUGGGGGCCCAAGGCAAAUCCAGUCAUUGGGGCCCUUGACAUCCUCGUACUGCACUGACAAAAGUUUUAUUCUCACCUCAACACGUCUUUAGUGUGGCAGCAGCAGCAGGUUCAGCCUGGAUGAAGUUGUAUGUUGCGUUUCUAAAAAAAAAAAAAAAAAAAAAAGACCACAAAAGAUAACGAUCAAUUAUGAGAACAAAAAUUUUACCAGCAUAAUUUCAUCAAAUUCACCUUUUGUAUUUCCGUCCUCCCUACUUUCUCUGUGAUGGUUUUGUCUCCUUUUUUCUUUGUGAUGUUUUCUCCUCUCCCUCUUUCUCGCUCUCCCUUCUUUGUGAUGGUUUUGUCUCCAUUUUUCCUUCUCUUUCUCCCUUCUUUCUCUGAUGUUUUUUCUCCCUUUUUCUUUCUUUCUCCCUUCUUUCUCCGUGAUAGUUUUGUCUUCCUUUUUUCUUUGUGAUGUUUUGUUCUUUCCCUCUUUCCUUCUCUUUCUCCCCUUUUCUCUGGUUUUGUCUCUUUUGUCUUUGUGAUGUUUUCUUCUCUCCGAUGUUUUUGUCUCCAUUUUUCCUUCUCUUUCUCCCUUCUUUCUCUGUGAUGGUUUUGUCUCCUUUUUCUUUGUGAUGUUUUCUUCUCUCCCUCUUUCUUGCUCUCCCUUCUUUCUCUGUGAUGGUUUUGUCUCCUUUUUUCUUUGUGAUGUUUUCUUCUCUCCCUUCUUUCUCUGAUGUUUUUGUCUCCCUUUUUCCUUCUCUUUCUCCCUUCUUUCUCUGUGAUAGUUUUGUCUUCUUUUUUCUUUGUGAUGUUUUGUUCUUUCCCUCUUUCCUUCUUUCUCCCCUUUUCUCUGUGACGGUUUUGUCUCCCUUUUUUCUUUGUGAUGUUUUCUUCUCUCCCUCUUUCUUGCUCUCCCUUCUUUCUCUCUGAUGUUUUUGUCUCCCUUUUUCCUUCUCUUUCUCUGAUGUUUUUUUCUCCCUUUUUCCUUCUCUUUCUCCCUUCUUUCUCUGUGAUAGUUUUCUUCUUUUUUUCUUUGUGAUGUUUUGUUCUUUCCCUCUUUCCUUCUUUCUCCCCUUUUCUCUGUGAUGGUUUUGUCUCCCUUUUGUCUUUGUGAUGUUUUCUUCUCUCCCUUUUCUUAAAAUUAUCACUAAAAUUUAACCUUUCGAGUCUUUGCCUCAGCAAACUUUGUAAUGAGUCGCUCCAUAUCCAGUGACUUUCUGACUUCCUGCUCAAUGGAGAGUACUGCAAGUGCUGACAGCCUGUCCUGGGACAUAGUUGACCUCAGGUAGGUUUUAAUCAUUUUUAGUUUUGAAAAACUUCUCUCACCUGAAGCCACUGUGGCAGGGAGAGUGAGAAGAAGUCUUGAGAGCGAUGCUGAGAUUUGGAUAUACGUCAAGUUGUAAUUACAACUAUCUGACAGCCUAAGUUUCUAGUUGCAUAACCGUUUUCAUAUAUUUCCCCAUGUCCAGUGAAUAAUAUUUUUCACUAAACAAAGAUUUUGAAUCAACUAAAUAUUGUGAAAUGGAGGGGAUAAUUAUCUAAGAACUAUCUCAAUACUAUUGCUGUGAUUGAAAAUAACAUUAAUCAACAUUUAAUAUAGUUUACCAUCUCGACCGAUUUAAUACUCACAUCUUCAUGAAAAGAAUCCCUUGCUUCACUCGCCACAUCUCCUCGGCUGACACUGACAGCAGAGCUGCUACUGACAGCAGCAUCUAGCUCUAGCUGUUGCAGAGAAUCCCCACUCGGUGUCACCGUGAAAAAGGUUGAUACCUUCGGUAGUUUUGAUAAAAACUGUUUAUUUUCUUCUCGCCUUCUUCUCUUCUCCGCUCCACUCAGAUAACUCCGCUUCAUCUUUCUCACUGCUCACCCACUCUCUCAAGACCGCGCCAACAAGUUUGUUUUGCUGCCGUCUUCCUGAAUCAAGCCUGCGCGUGCGCAGUAACAUGGAAUAGUCCAUUGCGCGAGACAGGAGGGGGGAUAACGAUCAUGAUAGUGAUAAAUCAACCAUUUUUAUUUAUUUUUAAGCGUGCAAAUUAAGACUAAAACAAUAUUAAUUGCUUCAAAUAAAAAAAACACCUUUAUUAAUCAGCUUUCACGAGACGUUUGGGGGCCCCUGGAAAUCUUGGGGCCCCAGGCAAUUGCCUGUGUUUGCCUAAUGGUAAGUCCGCCUCUGCUCGUAACAUCACUCGUAAAUGCACUUUAAUGCAGAUGGAUGACACUGAGUCUGUUUUAAUGAGACUGAGUUCAGAUGUGUAGCUCUGUCAUUAAAUAGGAAGUUAUUUCUCAGAAUUCACAGAGAAAAGUCUAAAAUGUUUGCAAGGUUAACGUCCCACAUGUUGGCUCAGCUAAAGCUAACUCUCUCCAACUUCUGGAUCUCUGGAGUUGCUUGUUGUUCAGAUAUCUUGUUAGAGGUGCUGAAGCUCAGAAAGUCUGAGAUGUUUGUUCAAAAUCAGCUCAUUGUCAAGUCUGAUCUGAAGUGUCCUCUUUAGUUUGAACUUUCCCUAAACUUAGGAGUGAAUGACAGAGCAGCACAUCCAGGCUCAGUCUCAUUUAUCUACAUAAAUGAGAUUAAACUUCAGUGUCAUUCAUUGAUGUUAAAGUGCAGUUUUUCACGUUUGUUGCUCAUGCUCCCGACCAAACCAGUCCAGGUGGAAGAGGAUGUGAAGAGAAGCUCCAGCGGAAGAAUAGCACACAUUUACGUUGGAAAUAGAUGUCUUUAAUUAGACAUUGUCAGACAAAAGUUGGAUUUCCCUUUAAUGAUGUUCAAAUCUUUGAGUGUUUUGUUGAUGUUGGUUUUUAAAUGUUUUCUGACAUUCGGCCCCAAAGAUUCAAACCUUCUACAGCUCGCAAGUCGCAACAAUUCACAAAUUAUCACCCAUCCAAAUAAUCAGAAUCAGGUGUUCCAAUCACUUCCAUGGCCACAGGUGUAUCAAAUCAAGCCCCUGGGCAUGCAGACUGCUUUUACAAACAUUAGUGAAAGAAUGGGUCGCUCUCAGGAGCUCAGUGAAUUCCAGCGUGGAACUGUGAUAGGAUGCCACCUGUGCAACAAAUCCAGUUGUGACAUUUCCUCUCUCCUAAAUAUUCCACAGUCAACUGUCAGCUGUAUUAUAAGAAAGUGGAAGUGUGUGGGAACGACAGCAGCUCAGCCACCAAGUGGUCGGCCACGUAAACUGAUGGAGCGGGGUCAGCGGAUGCUGAGGCGCAUAGUGCCAAGAGGUGGCCGACUUUCUGCAGAGUCAAUGGCUACAGACCUUCAAACUUCAUGUGGCCUUCAGAUUAGCUCAAGAACAGAGCUUCAGCAGAGAGCUUCAUGGAAUGAGUUUCCAUGGAAGAGCGGCUCCAUCCAAGCCGUACAUCACCCAGUGCAAUGCAAAGUGUGGGAUGCAGUGGUAUAAAGCACGCCGCCACUGGACUCUAGAGCAGUGGAGACGCUUUCUGUGGAGUGACCAAUCACGCUUCUCUAUCUGGCAAUCUGAUGGACCAGUCUGGUUUUGGCGGUUGCCAGGAGAACGACACUUGUCGGACUGCAUUGUGCCAAGUGUAAAAUUUGGUGGAGGGGAGAUUAUGGACCGACGUCAUAUUGAACCCUAUGGAUUAGGAAUGGGAUGUCACUGACGUUCAUGUGCGGGUCAAGGCAGGUGAGUGAAUACUUUUGGCAAUAUAGUCUAUCUUUCUGACUAAACUAAGAUAAAAAGUGAAAAACUGCCUGAUUCCUGCAUCAUGAAUGUAAAUCUUUUUGUUUUUUAUGACAGUAAACUGAAUAUAUUUGGGUUUGACAUUUUGUAAAUCAAAACAACAAAUGAAUUACUGGAGAAAACAAUCAACAGAUUAAUGGACAAAGAAUGUGUUUUCCAACAUAUAUGUCUGAAUUCCUCCAACAUUACAAGAUGCAUACAAUUUACUUUUAUUUAUAGAAUGCCAAUUACAGGUCAAAUUGUCUCAAGACGCUUUAUGUUUUAUAGAUUUUUUUGUCAUAUUUAAAAUAUGAGAUCCAAAAUGUGACCAAAAACGUCAUAGUUUAGUAUGUCAUCCAAAAUGUGAUCAAAAUCGUCAUAGUUUUGUAUGUAAUCCAAAAUUUGAACAAAAAUGUCAUAUUUUAGUACGUUGUCCAAAAUGUCAUAAAAUGUCAUAGUUUAGUAUGUCGUCCAAAAUGUGAUCAAAAUCGUCAUAGUUUUGUAUGUAAUCCAAAAUUUGAACAAAAAUGUCAUAUUUUAGUAUGUCGUCCAAAAUGUGACUAACACGUCAGUUUACUAUGUUGUUCAAAAUGUGACCAACACGUCAUAGUUUAAUAUGUCGUCCAAAAUGUGACCAAAAACAUAAUAUUUUAGUAUGUCGUACAAAAUGUCAUAAAACGUCGUAGUUUAGUAUGUCAUCCAAAAUGUGUAAAAAACGUCAUGGUUUAUUAUGUCUUUCAAAAUGUCAUGAAACAUCGUAGUUUAGUAUGUCGUUCAAAAUGUUGUACAACAGGCCCUGUUAUAGCUCAACGGGUUAAGCGGGCGACCCACGUACACGGGCUGGUCCCUGACGCAGUGGCCCGUGUUCAAUUCCUGCUUGCGGCCCUUUGCUGCAUGUCUUCUCACUGUGACUAUCACAAAAAAGACCAAAAUGUCAUAGUUUAGUAUGUCACAAAAAACAUAAUAAUUUAGUACAUCGUCCAAAAUGUCACCAACACGUCAUAGUUUAGUAUGUUGUCCAAAAUGUGACCAACACGUCAUAGUUUACGAUGUCGUUCAAAAUGUGACCAAAAUAUCAUAGUUUCGUAUGUCGUCCAAAAUAUGACCAAAAACAUAUUUUAGUAUGUCGUACAAAAUGUCAUAAAACAUCAUAGUUUAGUAUGUCGUACAAAAUGUGACCAAAAAUGUCAUACUUUAGUAUGUCAUCCAAAAUGUGACCAAACGUCAUAGUUUAGUAUGUCGUACAAAAUAUGACCAAAAACGUCAUAGUUUUGCAUGUCGACAAAAAUGUGACCAAAAACAUCAUAGUUUAGUAUGUCUUCCAAAAUGCCAUGAAAAACCUCAUAGUUUAGUACGUUCUCUAAAAUAUGAGCAAAAACGUCAUAGUUUAGUAUGUCGUCCAAAAUGUGACUAAAACGUCAUAGUUUAGUAUGUCGUCCAAAAUGUGACUAAAACGUCAUAGUUUAGUAUGUCGUCUAAAUAGUCACCAAAAACGUCAUAGUUUAAUAGGUCGUCCAAAAUGUGACUAAAACGUCAUAGUUUAGUAUAUCGUCCAAAAUGUGACUAAAACGUCAUAGUUUAGUAUGUCGUCCAAAAUGUCACCAAAAACGUCAUAGUUUAGUAGGUCGUCCAAAAUAACACCAAAAACGUAAUAAUUUAAUGUCGUCCAAAAUGUGACUAAAACGUCAUAGUUUAGUAUGUCGUCUAAAAUGUCACCAAAAACGUCAUAGUUUAGUAUGUCGUCCAAAAUGUGACUAAAACGUCAUAGUUUAGUAGGUCGUCCAAAAUGUGACUAAAACGUCAUAGUUUAGUAUGUCGUCUAAAAUGUCACCAAAAACGUCAUAGUUUAGUAUGUCGUCCAAAAUGUGACCAAAAAUGUCAUAGUUUAGUAUGUCGUCUAAAAUGUCACCAAAAACGUCAUAGUUUAAUAGGUCGUCCAAAAUGUGACUAAAACGUCAUAGUUUAGUAGGUCGUCCAAAAUGUCACCAAAAACGUCAUAGUUUAGUAUGUCGUCCAAAAUGUGACUAAAAUGUCAUAGUUUAGUGUGUCGUCCAAAAUGUGACCAAAAAUGUCAUAGUUUAGUAUGUCGUCUAAAAUGUCACCAAAAACGUCAUAGUUUAAUAGGUCGUCCAAAAUGUGACUAAAACGUCAUAGUUUAGUAUGUCGUCCAAAAUGUCACCAAAAACGUCAUAGUUUAGUAGGUCGUCCAAAAUGUGACUAAAACGUCAUAGUUUAGUAUGUCGUCCAAAAUGUCACCAAAAACGUCAUAGUUUAGUAGGUCGUCCAAAAUGUGACUUAAACGUCAUAGUUUAGUAUGUCGUCUAAAAUGUCACCAAAAACGUCAUAGUUUAAUAGGUCGUCCAAAAUGUGACUAAAACGUCAUAGUUUAGUAUGUCGUCCAAAAUGUCACCAAAAACGUCAUAGUUUAGUAUGUCGUCCAAAAUGUGACUAAAACGUCAUAGUUUAGUGUGUCGUCCAAAAUGUGACCAAAAAUGUCAUAGUUUAGUAUGUCGUCUAAAAUGUCACCAAAAACGUCAUAGUUUAAUAGGUCGUCCAAAAUGUCACCAAAAACGUCAUAGUUUAGUAGGUCGUCCAAAAUAUCACCAAAAACGUCAUAGUUUAGUAUGUCGUCCAAAAUGUGACUAAAACGUCAUAGUUUAGUGUGUCGUCCAAAAUGUGACCAAAAAUGUCAUAGUUUAGUAUGUCGUCUAAAAUGUCACCAAAAACGUCAUAGUUUAAUAGGUCGUCCAAAAUGUGACUAAAACGUCAUAGUUUAGUAUGUCGUCCAAAAUGUCACCAAAAACGUCAUAGUUUAGUAUGUCGUCCAAAAUGUGACUAAAACGUCAUAGUUUAGUGUGUCGUCCAAAAUGUGACCAAAAAUGUCAUAGUUUAGUAUGUCGUCUAAAAUGUCACCAAAAACGUCAUAGUUUAAUAGGUCGUCCAAAAUGUGACUAAAACGUCAUAGUUUAGUAUGUCGUCCAAAAUGUCACCAAAAACGUCAUAGUUUAGUAGGUCGUCCAAAAUGUGACUAAAACGUCAUAGUUUAGUAUGUCGUCCAAAAUGUCACCAAAAACGUCAUAGUUUAGUAGGUCGUCCAAAAUGUGACUUAAACGUCAUAGUUUAGUAUGUCGUCUAAAAUGUCACCAAAAACGUCAUAGUUUAAUAGGUCGUCCAAAAUGUGACUAAAACGUCAUAGUUUAGUAUGUCGUCCAAAAUGUCACCAAAAACGUCAUAGUUUAGUAUGUCGUCUAAAAUGUCACCAAAAACAUCAUAGUUUAGUAGGUCGUCCAAAAUGUGACUAAAACGUCAUAGUUUAGUAUGUCGUCCAAAAUUUGAUCAAAAAUGUCAUAGUUUUGUAUGUCGUCCAGAAUGUCAUAAAACAUCAUAGUUUAGUAUGUCGUCCAAAAUGUCACCAAAAACGUCAUAGUUUAGUAUAUCGUCCAAAAUGUGACCAAAAACGUAAUAAUUUAGUGUGUCGUCCAAAAUGUCACCAAAAACGUCAUAGAUUUGUAUGUCCUCCAAAAUUUGAUCAAAAACAUCAUAGUUUAGUAUGUCGUCCAAAAUUUGAUCAAAAAUGUCAUAGUUUUGUAUGUCGUCCAAAAUGUCACCAAAAACGUAAUAAUUUAGUAUGUUGUCCAAAAUGUGUAAAAAACAUCAUAGUUUUGUAUGUUGUCCAAAAUUUGAACAAAAAUGUCAUAGUUUAGUAUGUCGUCCAAAAUGUCACCAAAAACGUCAUAGUUUAGUAGGUCGUCCAAAAUGUGACUAAAACGUCAUAGUUUAGUAUAUCGUCCAAAAUGUGACUAAAACGUCAUAGUUUAGUAUGUCGUCUAAAAUGUCACCAAAAACGUCAUAGUUUAAUAGGUCGUCCAAAAUGUGACUAAAACGUCAUAGUUUAGUAUGUCGUCCAAAAUGUCACCAAAAACGUCAUAGUUUAGUAGGUCGUCCAAAAUGUGGCUAAAACGUCAUAGUUUAGUCGGUCGUCCAAAAUGUGACUAAAACGUCAUAGUUUAGUGUGUCGUCCAAAAUGUGACCGAAAAUGUCAUAGUUUAGUCGGUCGUCCAAAAUGUGGCUAAAACGUCAUAGUUUAGUAGGUCGUCCAAAAUGUGACUAAAACGUCAUAGUUUAGUAUAUCGUCCAAAAUGUGACUAAAACGUCAUAGUUUAGUAUGUCGUCCAAAAUGUCACCAAAAACGUCAUAGUUUAGUAUGUCGUCUAAAAUGUCACCAAAAACAUCAUAGUUUAGUAGGUCGUCCAAAAUGUGACUAAAACGUCAUAGUUUAGUAUGUCGUCCAAAAUUUGAUCAAAAAUGUCAUAGUUUUGUAUGUCGUCCAGAAUGUCAUAAAACAUCAUAGUUUAGUAUGUCGUCCAAAAUGUCACCAAAAACGUCAUAGUUUAGUAUAUCGUCCAAAAUGUGACCAAAAACGUAAUAAUUUAGUGUGUCGUCCAAAAUGUCACCAAAAACGUCAUAGAUUUGUAUGUCCUCCAAAAUUUGAUCAAAAACAUCAUAGUUUAGUAUGUCGUCCAAAAUUUGAUCAAAAAUGUCAUAGUUUUGUAUGUCGUCCAAAAUGUCACCAAAAACGUAAUAAUUUAGUAUGUUGUCCAAAAUGUGUAAAAAACAUCAUAGUUUUGUAUGUUGUCCAAAAUUUGAACAAAAAUGUCAUAGUUUAGUAUGUCGUCCAAAAUGUCACCAAAAACGUCAUAGUUUAGUAGGUCGUCCAAAAUGUGACUAAAACGUCAUAGUUUAGUGUGUCGUCCAAAAUGUGACCGAAAAUGUCAUAGUUUAGUAUGUCGUCUAAAAUGUCACCAAAAACGUCAUAGUUUAAUAGGUCGUCCAAAAUGUGACUAAAACGUCAUAGUUUAGUAUGUCGUCCAAAAUGUGACCAAAAAUGUCAUAGUUUAAUAGGUCGUCCAAAAUGUGACUAAAACGUCAUAGUUUAGUAUGUCGUCCAAAAUGUGACCAAAAAUGUCAUAGUUUAGUGUGUCGUCCAAAAUGUGACCAAAAAUGUCAUAGUUUAAUAGGUCGUCCAAAAUGUGACUAAAACGUCAUAGUUUAGUAGGUCGUCCAAAAUGUGACUAAAACGUCAUAGUUUAGUAUGUCGUCCAAAAUGUCACCAAAAACGUAAUAAUUUAGUAUGUUGUCCAAAAUGUGUAAAAACAUCAUAGUUUUGUAUGUUAUCCAAAAUUUGAACAAAAAUGUCAUAGUUUAGUAUGUCGUCCAAAAUGUGACCAAAAACGUAAUAAUUUAGUGUGUCGUCCAAAAUGUGACUAAAACGUCAUAGUUUAGUAUGUCGUCCAAAAUGUGACCAAAAAUGUCAUAGUUUAGUAUGUCGUCCACAAUGUGACUAAAACGUCAUAGUUUAGUGUGUCGUCCAAAAUGUGACCAAAAAUGUCAUAGUUUAAUAGGUCGUCCAAAAUGUGACUAAAACGUCAUAGUUUAGUAUAUCGUCCAAAAUGUGACUAAAACGUCAUAGUUUAGUAUGUCGUCCAAAAUGUGACCAAAAAUGUCAUAGUUUAGUAUGUCGUCCACAAUGUGACUAAAACGUCAUAGUUUAGUGUGUCGUCCAAAAUGUGACCAAAAAUGUCAUAGUUUAAUAGGUCGUCCAAAAUGUGACUAAAACGUCAUAGUUUAGUAUAUCGUCCAAAAUGUGACCAAAAAUGUCAUAGUUUAGUAUGUCGUCUAAAAUGUCACCAAAAACGUCAUAGUUUAAUAGGUCGUCCAAAAUGUGACUAAAACGUCAUAGUUUAGUAUGUCGUCCAAAAUGUCACCAAAAACGUAAUAAUUUAGUAUGUUGUCCAAAAUGUGUAAAAAACAUCAUAGUUUUGUAUGUCGUCCAAAAUGUGACUAAAACGUCAUAGUUUAGUGUGUCGUCCAAAAUUUGAUCAAAAACGUCAUAGUUUUGUAUGUCGUCCAGAAUGUCAUAAAAAAGUCAGUUGAAUCUAUGAUGUGUUUUUGUGAUAAAAUGAGAGUUUCAGGACAGGAACACAUUUCAGUGCAUUUAGAAGAACGACAGUAAACUCAGCCUUGAUUUUUUAUUUUCUUAGAACAAAACAACUCUCCAUCUGCAUAUCAGACACGGAGACUCAGAACUGAAUAGGCAGCAAUUAAAAUAACACAACAAAGGAAAGUGAUAUAUAAUAAAAGUUUCAAAAGACAACUUUUACAAAACCAUGUUGUCCACUGCCACUGAACCACCUGAGCAUAAAACCAGUUCUUUCUCGUAUGCUGUCAGGUUACUGUAGAAGCAUAAUACAAAAAGUAAAAAGGACAACUUUAAGAUUGAUGACACACAGGAACUGAUACUCUAGAAACCACAUCUGGGGCAUAAAUAUCAAAACUUUAAAUGCCUGGUAGCAUCUAUCACGUCUGCUUAAUAUACCGAAUCGGAGGAGUUAUCUCUUUAGGCAUCACUUAUGAAAGAUUCAGAGGUUUUGAAAAUCAAUCUACCCCAGGUGUGAUACAAGCAGUCAUGGUCUAAAUACACGUGAACAUGGGAAUGGUGGACCGAUCAUCAUCAUCUUCAUCUGGCUACAACGGGACGCUCAGUUGGCGUGCUGAACGGUGGAGAAGCACAGCUUGAGGGUGUAGGGGUAGGGACCGGCUGGAAGGAACACAAACGACAAACAUCAAAAAUGAACACGUUGCAGCUGCAAUAUAAAGUGGAUUAGUAUGCUGUGAUAUCAGUGAUUGACUUAAUUCUAGUCAUCUUUUGUGUAGAUAAAGGAAAGUUCUCAUCUAACUUGAGCUCUUUGCAUCAUGAUGUAUGAAGUCCCGCAAGAGUCACAGUUAAAGUGUUGGAUUUCCGCUCCCUCACAUUAUUUUGUAUGUUCCUUGUGAUCCAUGUGAAUAGUUUUUUUGGUCCGGUUAAAACUCUCUGCCUGCUGUUUCUGUUUAACUGCUUUUUUUGGGUUCAAUCUGCUGCUUUGGAUAAGUCCAAGUGUUAGGUUUUUUUUCCCCCAAAUAUAAAAUUGGUUCAAUUUAUCUUCAUGUAUUUUGUGUUAUUUUCAUCAGGCUAUCAUUGUUACAGUGUGUAGAGUUAAGGUUGUGCACUUCAUUGGAGCAGUUUACUAGAAUCUGUCAGAUAUUAGCCAUAUUCAUGCUUUGCUGCUUAACCUUUUAACUGCUAUAUGUCGGAUGUUAAAAAAGCCACUAAACUUAGCGUUAACUGUAGAAACCAGCAUUUUUGAUUUGAUUUGAUUUUUUUUUUAAUUUUCCUCAAUAGACACGGGGGGGGGGGGGGGGGGGGGGAAUGAUAAACACAAAAAAAGGUUUAACGUUCAUUAUAAAUGCUCAGUCAGAAUUAUAGGUCAAAAGACCCGAUGACCUGCAGAGUCAGUAACUUCCUUUAAAUCACUUCUGCAAACACACUUUUAUGUGAAGUUUACUUUUAGCUUUCACUAGUUUCUGUGUUUUAUUCUGCAUUUAUGUCCUGUUUAUUUUAGAUGUUGUGUUUUAUUCUAAUUUUAGCUGCAUGCUUCUUUGGUGUGAUGUCUUCUCUCCAAUGUUUUUGAAUUUAUAACUUUAACCCUCAGUCUUAUUCUUUAAUUUCUAAACUGCCUAGUUCCGUUGAUACGGGUGCUAAUGUAGCUAAUUAUUCAUUUAUUAUCAUUUGUCGUUCUGUGACGAGUUUCAAUCUAUUUCUGCGUCUGUCUGUAUCCUGAUGCCUGAAUGACCUCUGUAUAUGUGAGAUGUGAGGCUGGUCCUUACCUGCGUUUUUCAUCUGGUAGUGGUUCAUCAGUGCCAGAGCCUCCAUGGCGUCGUUGAUGGACUCCCACUCCAGCAGACCUGAAGCGCUGCGAUCGCUGGGAGCUGCACCGCCUGGUUGGAACAGACACACAACCGGAGGUCCUCAACACAUUCCUACAGUCGUUCUGGGUUAAGAACUGAUCAUUUUUAGAAAAAUGCCAGUCAAGUUCAAGAUACACCAACAUCUAGAGAACCACCCUUUAUGUCCAGUUACUUACUUUUUCCUGUGAACAUCUUGACGUUAACGGGGCUCUUGACACCGAUCUCCUCACAGAUCUGGAAAGACAACUUCUAUUAGGGACUGACAACGUUGUAUUCUAUCACUGGCAGCUUUCUGUUGUAAUGCAGUAAAGUAGAAUCCAGGAGAAAGCCUAUUUCUGCAUCUGUUCUCGUUGUUCUUCUUACAGACCUGAGAGAAAACCUCCGGCGUGACGUCCGGCUGGGCGUUGAAGAAGUGCAGCACGUUGCUCGGGUGCUGGAUGCGGUUCUUCGCUGCCUGCUCUGGGGAGGUGAACCGGUUGUUCCUGGAGCCGUGGAAGUCCUUGAAGCUGCUCGUUCCGUCGUCCAGCUCGUAGCACUGACCGGGAACGAUGGCCUGCUGCUUGGAGACGCUGAGGAGCGGGACGGUCGACACGUUUCAAAUUAAAGUUCUGUGGAAUAAUCUGUUAGAACAGCUUUGCCCUUUAUCUGUUGUCUAAAAUAUACGAUCUAGAUUUCUGUAAAAAUAAACUGAUCACAUAAACAGUGAUUUUCAUGACAUGUGAAGCAGAGAAAAUGUUUAAAACUGUAUGAGAGCAUCACUCAGACCCCUGGAACUAAACAUCAAAUCUGGAUCUUCACACCAACUUAGUUUGAAAGACAAGAGUUCUCUGAACAUUUACAAGUGAUGUGGCUGUUAGAAAACUCAACAUUUACAGCUGUAUUCUCAUGCUUUCUUGGAAGCAGUCAACAAAUGAGGCUUCACAGGCACCACAAAAAUUAAACUGUUGGAUUUUGUUCUGUUCUUUGCUGGUUCCAAUUGGAAAGAGAGAGAAAAAAAAGACAAAUUCAAAAAUACAGAGGUGAACAAAAAUAUUGAUAGCAGCAGUUCUUUAUGCUAACACUUUACUAAAAUACUGUGCAGCUGAGAAGUCGUAUGAAAUGAUGUUUGUUGUGUCAGAACUUAAAGAAAGAAAGAAAGAAAAAAAGAGUGCUUCAUGGCCAAUGAUGCACAUUAACUCUCUUUGUAAAAACUCAGAAACUGGGAGAACUUUUGAAGAUUUGGUUGUUUCCAUCAAUUCUUGGAAAUGUUUAGAAAAAUGUAUUCUGGAGAAACGGCCAGUGUAGCGUUUAUUGGAUUCUAUGGCUUUAUAUUUACAUCUUGCUGAUGGUUCUUGCUAUAUGAUCCAACAUGCAGCAUUGUUAUGUGACGUAUGCUGCGCUGCUUAGAUUAAAUAUUACACAUGUAGUUUCUACGUAGGGAAUGAAACAAUAAGGUUCGAUGUAAACAGGAAGAUAUGAGAUGUACAGAUAAGUUACUGUUCAAAAGUCUGGGCUCACUUAGAAAUAUUCUAAUUUCUACUGAUGUCAAGAGAAGUGACACCAACAGAGCAGCAGUUUGUGCAAGAAAUGCAGCAUCAGUUCUGAGGAUUCGCUCUGAUUUUCAGGUGUAAACUACUGUUCCAAAGUUUGUGGUCACGUAGAAUUAUCCUAAUCUUUGAAAGAACAACAUUUUUUUCCAAUGAAGAUAACAUUAAAUGAAUGAUAAAUCCAGUCUAGACAAUGUUAAUGCGGUAAAUGACUGUUCUAGCUGGAAAUGUUUAAUGGAAUAUCUCCAUAGGGGUACAGAGGAACAUUUCCAGCAACCAUCACUCCUGUGUUCUAAUGCUACAUUGUGUUAGCUAAUGGUGCUGAAAGGCUCAUUGAUGAUUAGAAAACCCUUGUGCAGUUAUGUUAGCACAUGGAAAAUAUGGAAUUGUCUGGAUGAACCCAAACUUUUGAACAGUGGUGUAUGUAUGUAGUUAAACCUCAUUCUACUCAUUUUCAGCCAUUAUUUGACUGUUCUUGUGUAUUUGUUUUCUUUGUCUUUAUGAUACCGUGGCAUGUCUGAAAUAAAUCAAAUAAAUAGUACACAUGUAGCUAUCCGUGCUUAGGUGUCAAAUAUGCUCUGAAUAAAAGUCUGAAACCCAGA
Molecule: long non-coding RNA, 22443 nt
Organism: Acanthochromis polyacanthus (spiny chromis)
Lineage: Eukaryota; Metazoa; Chordata; Actinopteri; Pomacentridae
Exons: 12
Source: RefSeq, a predicted model, not a curated record